GGAGCCGUAGCGAAAGCGAGUUUUAACUGAGCGUUCAGUUACUUGACGUAGACCCGAAACCGGGCGACCUACCCAUGAGCAGGAUGAAGCGAAAGUAAAAUUUCGUGGAGGUCCGAACCCCCGAGCGUUGAAAAGCUCGGGGAUGACUUGUGGGUAGCGGUGAAAUUCCAAUCGAACCCGGAGCUCGCUGGUUCUCCCCGAAAUCGCUUUAAGGCGAGCCUCAAGGUGAGAGAUACAGAGGUUGAACACUGACUGGCCUAGGGGGGAUUGCACCUACCGAA
RNAcentral lists this ribosomal RNA (281 nucleotides) under Clostridioides difficile. RNAcentral describes it as "partial 23S ribosomal RNA". It matches the Rfam family "Bacterial large subunit ribosomal RNA", at positions 662 to 943 of the family's 2925-position model. Lineage: Bacteria; Bacillati; Bacillota; Clostridia; Peptostreptococcales; Peptostreptococcaceae. The record is from RNAcentral.